GGCAUCUCUGAUGAAAAACUAGGUCACAGGAGCUUAACAUAGAAAAUAUUGUUAACACUCUAGUGGCUGCAGUUUUGAUCCAAAUAUUCUGGAAAUUUGUCAGGAAGGUUGUUUUGAUGAUUUCUAAGUAAAGUUCGAAGAUGGGUCACCUGGGGUCAAAAGUUAGGUCACAUUGCCCAAAUACUGAAAAACCUUUUUUUUUACACACUAGAUGUCAAUUGUCAAACUUGGCCAGAAUGCUUGUCUAAGACAUUGCUUAGAUGUGGUUGAUGGGUCAGGGGAGUGAUCUAGGGCCAUCAUGGCCCUCUUGUUUUUUCACAAAGCAGCAGAAAACUCACAAUUUCGAAAGAGAUUUCACAAAAUAUUGGGACUUCCUCUUUGAAAUUCAUUGUUUACCUUCUGGUAAACUUGAUUUUCGCCAAUUGCAAACACGUAAAUAGUUUCAAUUAAUUCAAAGGGUAAAAGUACCAACUCGAACAGGUCAGAAAUUAUAAUCAAGUGUUCAUCAUAUCCAUUUAUGGCAUGUUUCUAUUAUUAUAACAAAAUUACCAAUAACUUAUGAGUCAAUGGCUAGAAAGGGGGACAUAUGUGUUGUUUAAAACAUCCGACAAACAAGUAAUCAAAUUGAUGUGGCCUAAGAAUCAGUUGCACUGCCAGUUUAUACAUAACCACAUGUCUGUAAAAAAGGUUUAUCGCAUGUAGGAGACAUUGUAGAGUGUAUACACACAAUAGAUUUAUUUACCUGUCAGUGUGCUGGAAGCUUCUGAGGUUAACACAAGGUCUACUUUAUAAAAGUGUUAAUAUAAUCUAAGUGCAUUUAUUCUAGAAGUGUUAAUAUAAUCUGAAUGCAUUAUUUAUCUUAGAAAAUUUGUGAAAGCUGAAGUUUGAGUAACUUCUCCACUAUAGAACAGAAACAUCUUGAUCAUUAUGGCUUACAGUGACAAGAGACAAGAAUAUGACUAUCAUCUCAAGACAGAUGGUGUAAAUGAUGAAUACUCGGUGUCAUCAAAUGAUGAUGAGAACGAGGAACGAGGAAAUUGGUCAAGGAAAAUGGACUUUGUUCUUUCCUGUCUAAGCUAUGCAGUUGGAUUAGGAAAUGUGUGGAGGUUCCCAUAUGUAUGCUACAGAAAUGGAGCAGGUAAUUUUAGAAAGGAUUUGACAAUUGAAAGGAUUUGACAAUUCAGUGUUCCCACUAGAAUUUAAAUUUGAGGGUACAUGUACCCCCUAGGUGAUAUUUUUGGGGGUACACUUCACAGAAUAUUUAGGGGGUACAAACUAUAAAGACAAGCAAGUCAGUUAAACACAUAUCAAUAUUUUUAUUGAGACAUCUUUUCUACAGCUUUCUGAAUAACUUCAUUAGAUUCAAAUCCUUGCUGAUUGGCAGAAAAGUGGAUCAUCAUUCUAUUUUGUACAUUUUCAACAGUCCUCCUACUGCUGUACCUUGAAAUGUGUCUGUUUUGUGAUGAGAAUCCCCUU
This is a long non-coding RNA of Ruditapes philippinarum (Manila clam), 1476 nucleotides long. RefSeq lists it as uncharacterized. The record is from RefSeq and is a predicted model, not a curated record. Lineage: Eukaryota; Metazoa; Mollusca; Bivalvia; Venerida; Veneridae. The transcript is spliced from 2 exons.